GACGAACGCUGGCGGCGUGCCUAAUACAUGCAAGUCGAACGCUGAAGGAGGAGCUUGCUCUUCUGGAUGAGUUGCGAACGGGUGAGUAACGCGUAGGUAACCUGCCUGGUAGCGGGGGAUAACUAUUGGAAACGAUAGCUAAUACCGCAUAAGAGUAGAAGUUGCAUGACAUUUACUUAAAAGUUGCAAUUGCAUCACUACCAGAUGGACCUGCGUUGUAUUAGCUAGUUGGUGGGGUAACGGCUUACCAAGGCGACGAUACAUAGCCGACCUGAGAGGGUGAUCGGCCACACUGGGACUGAGACACGGCCCAGACUCCUACGGGAGGCAGCAGUAGGGAAUCUUCGGCAAUGGACGGAAGUCUGACCGAGCAACGCCGCGGGAGUGAAGAAGGGUUUCGGAUCGUAAAGCUCUGUUGUAAGAGAAGAACGAGUGUGAGAGUGGAAAGUUCACACUGUGACGGUAGCUUACCAGAAAGGGACGGCUAACUACGUG
Molecule: ribosomal RNA, 495 nt
Filed under: uncultured bacterium
Lineage: Bacteria
Description: partial 16S ribosomal RNA
Rfam family: Bacterial small subunit ribosomal RNA
Source: RNAcentral